RNAcentral lists this ribosomal RNA (465 nucleotides) under uncultured bacterium. Its description in RNAcentral is "partial 16S ribosomal RNA". It matches the Rfam family "Bacterial small subunit ribosomal RNA", at positions 28 to 507 of the family's 1533-position model. The record is from RNAcentral.
GACGAACGCUGGCGGCGUGCUUAACACAUGCAAGUCGUACGGUAAGGCCCUUUCGGGGGUACACGCGUGGCGAACGGGUGAGUAACACGUGAGUAACCUGCCCACCACUUUGGGAUAACGCUAGUAAACUGGUGCUAAUACUGGAUAUGUGCUCCUGCUGCAUGGUGGGGGUUGGAAAGCUCCGGCGGUUGGGGAUGGACUCGCGGCCUAUCAGCUUGUUGGUGGGGUAGUGGCCUACCAAGGCGGCGACGGGUAGCCGGCCUGAGAGGGUGACCGGCCAAAAUGGGACUGAGAUACGGCCCAGACUCCUACGGGAGGCAGCAGUGGGGAAUAUUGCACAAUGGGCGCAAGCCUGAUGCAGCAACGCCGCGUGCGGGAUGAAGGCCUUCGGGUUGGAAACCGCUUUCAGCAGGGACGAAGCUGUUUGUGACGGUACCUGCAGAAGAAGCACCGGCUAACUACGUG